This 75-nucleotide antisense RNA is filed under the name Streptomyces capillispiralis. RNAcentral's name for it is "ASpks TB sRNA". It matches the Rfam family "ASpks TB sRNA". Lineage: Bacteria; Bacillati; Actinomycetota; Actinomycetes; Kitasatosporales; Streptomycetaceae. The record is from RNAcentral.
CUUCACCGAGCCGAGCAGCAGCGGCCGGUCCUCGGGGCGGUCCUGGCCGUAGGUGGCCAGCAGUGCCUGUGCCUC